This is a small nucleolar RNA of Lampris incognitus (smalleye Pacific opah), 135 nucleotides long. RefSeq annotates it as small nucleolar RNA SNORA5. The record is from RefSeq and is a predicted model, not a curated record. The transcript has a single exon. NCBI's taxonomy places the organism in Eukaryota, Metazoa, Chordata, Actinopteri, Lampriformes, Lampridae.
UGCAGCCUUUUCAAAUUCAGUGCUCUCUCCCUGAUGGGGUGCCACUGGCCAAAAUGGCUGCCACAGCAACAUUGUAGCUCAUGGGCCCCAUUGCCCAACAUGGCCAUCGGGGAUAAAUAUGUCCUGCACACAAAG